This 293-nucleotide non-coding RNA is filed under the name Phascolarctos cinereus (koala). Lineage: Eukaryota; Metazoa; Chordata; Mammalia; Diprotodontia; Phascolarctidae. The record is from RNAcentral.
UCUAGGUCAAGUGUGGUUGCACCACACCAGCUAAUGCUGGUGGAUUCCUUGAGCUCAGAAGCUCUGAACUAAAGAAGAGCUAAAGCUCAUUGAGUAUCUACACUAAGUUCUGUACUAAUAUGGUGAGCCUCUGGGAGCAAAGGAUCACCAGAUUGCUUAAGGUGGGGUGAACUGAUCCAGGUCAGAAAAAAGGGGGGGGGGCAGGUUAAAGCUUCUGUGUUAGUAAGAUCAGGGUGAGACCCUUGAGUGGCUGCUGUACUUCCAGUCUGCAUGAGAUAGGGAGACCCACGUUC